Molecule: unclassified non-coding RNA, 400 nt
Filed under: uncultured fungus
Lineage: Eukaryota; Fungi
Description: sequence contains ITS1
Rfam family: 5.8S ribosomal RNA (bases 1-105)
Source: RNAcentral
GAAAUGCGAUACGUAGUGUGAAUUGCAGAAUUCCGUGAACCAUCGAAUCUUUGAACGCAUAUUGCGCCCAAGACUUCGGUCGAGGGCAUGUCUGCGUCAGCGUCGGUAUAUCCCCUCGCUUCCCUCCUGUUUGUUAUGAACAAGGGUCGGCCCAGCGCUUGCUGCCGGGCUUGGAAGCGGAUCUGGCUUUCCCACUGCUUCAGUGGGUUUGCCGAAUAGCAGAGGCUAGAGCGAGGACCUGUCAUGGGCUCAACUGGAUAGGUAGAAGCGGUGCUGCAAAGCGCUGCCAAUACACGAAAGUUGGUGCCUUGGACCUCGCUGGCGGCCAGCAGGAAACGAGCGCGCGUGUUGUUGGCACCUUCGGUGCCAGUCGCCGCCGCCGUCUACCAUUCGACCUGAC